UCCCUGUCCUCCAGGAGCUCACGUAUGCCUGCUUGUGAGCGCCUCGAUGACAGAGCCG
This 58-nucleotide microRNA precursor is filed under the name Cavia porcellus (domestic guinea pig). RNAcentral's name for it is "microRNA cpo-mir-339 precursor". Its record names the gene cpo-mir-339. It matches the Rfam family "mir-339 microRNA precursor family", at positions 15 to 71 of the family's 92-position model. Lineage: Eukaryota; Metazoa; Chordata; Mammalia; Rodentia; Caviidae. The record is from miRBase by way of RNAcentral.